This 478-nucleotide ribosomal RNA is filed under the name uncultured bacterium. Its description in RNAcentral is "partial 16S ribosomal RNA". It matches the Rfam family "Bacterial small subunit ribosomal RNA", at positions 28 to 523 of the family's 1533-position model. The record is from RNAcentral.
GACGAACGCUGGCGGCGUGCUUAACACAUGCAAGUCGAACGGUAAGGCCCUUCGGGGUACACGAGUGGCGAACGGGUGAGUAACACGUGGGUGAUCUGCCCUGCACUUCGGGAUAAGCCUGGGAAACUGGGUCUAAUACCGGAUAGGACCACUGCCUGCAUGGGUGGUGGUGGAAAGCUUUUGCGGUGUGGGAUGGGCCCGCGGCCUAUCAGCUUGUUGGUGGGGUGAGGGCCCAGCAAGGCGACGACGGGUAGCCGGCCUGGGAGGGUGACCGGCCACACUGGGACUGGGAUACGGCACAGACUCCGACGGGAGGCAGCAGUGGGGAAUAUUGCACAAUGGGCGCAAGCCUGAUGCAGCGACGCCGCGUGGGGGAUGACGGCCUUCGGGUUGUAAACCUCUUUCAGCACCGACGAAGCGCAAGUGACGGUAGGUGCAGAAGAAGGACCGGCCAACUACGUGCCAGCCGCCGCCGUAA